Molecule: ribosomal RNA, 2251 nt
Filed under: Pseudoalteromonas carrageenovora
Lineage: Bacteria; Pseudomonadati; Pseudomonadota; Gammaproteobacteria; Alteromonadales; Pseudoalteromonadaceae
Description: partial 23S ribosomal RNA
Rfam family: Bacterial large subunit ribosomal RNA
Source: RNAcentral
UAGUUGCAAGGUAUAGACCCGAAACCCGGUGAUCUAGCCAUGAGCAGGUUGAAGGUUGAGUAACAUCAACUGGAGGACCGAACCCACUAACGUUGAAAAGUUAGGGGAUGACUUGUGGCUAGGAGUGAAAGGCUAAUCAAACCGGGAGAUAGCUGGUUCUCCCCGAAAUCUAUUUAGGUAGAGCCUCGGACGAAUACUUACGGGGGUAGAGCACUGUUAAGGCUAGGGGGUCAUCCCGACUUACCAACCCUUUGCAAACUCCGAAUACCGUAAAGUAAUAUCCGGGAGACACACGGCGGGUGCUAACGUCCGUCGUGAAGAGGGAAACAACCCAGACCGCCAGCUAAGGUCCCAAAGUCAUAGUUAAGUGGGAAACGAUGUGGAAAGGCCCAGACAGCCAGGAGGUUGGCUUAGAAGCAGCCAUCCUUUAAAGAAAGCGUAAUAGCUCACUGGUCGAGUCGGUCUGCGCGGAAGAUGUAACGGGGCUAAACUAUGCACCGAAGCUGCGGAUUCAACGUUUACGUUGAGUGGUAGGGGAGCGUUCUGUAAGCCGUUGAAGGUGUGCCGGGAGGCAUGCUGGAGGUAUCAGAAGUGCGAAUGCUGACAUGAGUAACGAUAAUGCGGGUGAAAAACCCGCACGCCGGAAGACCAAGGGUUCCUAUCCCAUGUUAAUCAGGGUAGGGUAAGUCGACCCCUAAGGCGAGGCCGAAAGGCGUAGUCGAUGGGAAACGGAUUAAUAUUUCCGUACUUGGUAUAAUUGCGAUGGGGGGACGGAGAAGGCUAAGCAAGCAUGGCGAUGGUUGUCCAUGUGAAAGUGAGUAGGGCGUUUGUUUAGGUAAAUCCGGACGAACAUUAAACCUGAGACACGAGACGAGUCACCAAGGUGAUGAAGUUGUUGAUGCCAUACUUCCAGGAAAAGCCUCUAAGCUUCAGAUUAUACCGAAUCGUACCCCAAACCGACACAGGUGGUCAGGUAGAGAAUACUAAGGCGCUUGAGAGAACUCGGGUGAAGGAACUAGGCAAAAUCGUACCGUAACUUCGGGAGAAGGUACGCUCCUAUCUGUGAUGAGACUUGCUCUCUAAGCGGACGGGAGCCGCAGUGACCAGGUGGCUGGGACUGUUUAUUAAAAACACAGCACUGUGCAAAAUCGCAAGAUGACGUAUACGGUGUGACACCUGCCCGGUGCCGGAAGGUUAAUUGAUGGGGUUAUCCUUAGGGAGAAGCUCUUGAUCGAAGCCCCGGUAAACGGCGGCCGUAACUAUAACGGUCCUAAGGUAGCGAAAUUCCUUGUCGGGUAAGUUCCGACCUGCACGAAUGGUGUAACCAUGGCCACGCUGUCUCCACCCGAGACUCAGUGAAAUUGAAAUCGCAGUGAAGAUGCUGUGUACCCGCGGCUAGACGGAAAGACCCCGUGAACCUUUACUACAGCUUGGCACUGAACAUUGAACCUACAUGUGUAGGAUAGGUGGGAGACUUUGAAGAUGAGACGCUAGUUUUGUUGGAGUCGUCCUUGAAAUACCACCCUUGUAGUUUUGAUGUUCUAACGUUGGCCCCUGAAUCGGGGUUACGGACAGUGCCUGGUGGGUAGUUUGACUGGGGCGGUCUCCUCCCAAAGAGUAACGGAGGAGCACGAAGGUUGGCUAAGUACGGUCGGACAUCGUACGGUUAGUGUAAUGGUAGAAGCCAGCUUAACUGCGAGACAGACACGUCGAGCAGGUACGAAAGUAGGUCAUAGUGAUCCGGUGGUUCUGAAUGGAAGGGCCAUCGCUCAACGGAUAAAAGGUACUCCGGGGAUAACAGGCUGAUACCGCCCAAGAGUUCAUAUCGACGGCGGUGUUUGGCACCUCGAUGUCGGCUCAUCACAUCCUGGGGCUGAAGUCGGUCCCAAGGGUAUGGCUGUUCGCCAUUUAAAGUGGUACGCGAGCUGGGUUUAGAACGUCGUGAGACAGUUCGGUCCCUAUCUGCCGUGGGCGUUUGAGAAUUGAGAGGGGUUGCUCCUAGUACGAGAGGACCGGAGUGAACGAACCGCUGGUGUUCGGGUUGUCAUGCCAAUGGCAUUGCCCGGUAGCUACGUUCGGAACUGAUAAGCGCUGAAAGCAUCUAAGCGCGAAGCAGGCCUCGAGAUGAUUUCUCACUAGACUUUUAAAGUCUCUGAAGGGCCGUUGAAGACUACAACGUUGAUAGGCAAGAUGUGGAAGUGGUGUGAGCCAUUAAGCUAACUUGUACUAAUUACCCGUGAGGCUUAACCAU